This 168-nucleotide small RNA is filed under the name Oryza sativa Japonica Group (Japanese rice). RNAcentral describes it as "sRNA Os12g0293601". The record is from RNAcentral. Lineage: Eukaryota; Viridiplantae; Streptophyta; Magnoliopsida; Poales; Poaceae.
CCAUGUUAGAAAGAAGCUCCGCGUGAUAUGGCCUGUCGACGCCAGUGACUUGCAGGAAAUUAGCGUAGAGCGGCUCGUCGAGCACCUCCAUGCACGGACCUGGGUGAAUGAGUACAUGAUGCUGGUGCUGAGGGAGGCGACGCCGAACACGCGUGAAUCACCACCGGC